GUAGGGUGCAGGCGUUAAUCGGAAUUACUGGGCGUAAAGCGUGCGCAGGCGGCUCCUUAAGUCAGAUGUGAAAUCCCCGGGCUUAACCUGGGAACUGCGUUUGAAACUGAGGGGCUAGAGUGUGGAAGAGGGGGGUGGAAUUCCAGGUGUAGCAGUGAAAUGCGUAGAGAUCUGGAGGAACACCGAUGGCGAAGGCAGCCCCCUGGGCUAACACUGACGCUCAUGCACGAAAGCGUGGGGAGCAAACAGGAUUAGAUACCCUGGUAGUCCACGCCCUAAACGAUGUCAACUGGUUGUCGGGGAAGCAAUUCCUUGGUAACGAAGCUAACGCGUGAAGUUGACCGCCUGGGGAGUACGGCCGCAAGGUUA
Molecule: ribosomal RNA, 369 nt
Filed under: uncultured bacterium
Lineage: Bacteria
Description: bacterial SSU rRNA
Rfam family: Bacterial small subunit ribosomal RNA
Source: RNAcentral